AGUGAACGCUGGCGGUAGGCCUAACACAUGCAAGUCGAACGGCAGCACAGUAAGAGCUUGCUCUUACGGGUGGCGAGUGGCGGACGGGUGAGGAAUACAUCGGAAUCUACUUUUUCGUGGGGGAUAACGUAGGGAAACUUACGCUAAUACCGCAUACGACCUACGGGUGAAAGCAGGGGAUCUUCGGACCUUGCGCGAUUGAAUGAGCCGAUGUCGGAUUAGCUAGUUGGCGGGGUAAAGGCCCACCAAGGCGACGAUCCGUAGCUGGUCUGAGAGGAUGAAUAGGCAACAUGGAACCGAGACACGGGGCCAGAGCCCAAGGGAGGGCGGAAGGGGGGAGUAUGGAACAUUGGACGAAGGCCGGACCCGGCAUUCCGGGGGGGGGAAAGAGGGCUUUCGGGUUGUAAGGCCUUUUGGUGGGGAAAGAAAGGCAGAGGGUAAAUACCCGGUGUUGUGAAGGUACCCAAAGAAUAAGCACCGGCUAACUUCGUG
Molecule: ribosomal RNA, 492 nt
Filed under: uncultured bacterium
Lineage: Bacteria
Description: partial 16S ribosomal RNA
Rfam family: Bacterial small subunit ribosomal RNA
Source: RNAcentral